Molecule: ribosomal RNA, 497 nt
Filed under: uncultured bacterium
Lineage: Bacteria
Description: partial 16S ribosomal RNA
Rfam family: Bacterial small subunit ribosomal RNA
Source: RNAcentral
GACGAACGCUGGCGGCGUGCCUAAUACAUGCAAGUAGAACGCUGAAGAGAGGAGCUUGCUCUUCUUGGAUGAGUUGCGAACGGGUGAGUAACGCGUAGGUAACCUGCCUUGUAGCGGGGGAUAACUAUUGGAAACGAUAGCUAAUACCGCAUAACAAUGGAUGACACAUGUCAUUUAUUUGAAAGGGGCAAUUGCUCCACUACAAGAUGGACCUGCGUUGUAUUAGCUAGUAGGUGAGGUAAUGGCUCACCUAGGCGACGAUACAUAGCCGACCUGAGAGGGUGAUCGGCCAAACUGGGACUGAGACACGGCCCAGACUCCUACGGGAGGCAGCAGUAGGGAAUCUUCGGAAAUGGGGGCAACCCUGACCGAGCAACGCCGCGUGAGGGAAGAAGAUUUUCGGAUCGUAAAGCUCUGUUGUAAGUCAAGAACGGGUGUGAGAGUGGAAAGUUCACACUGUGACGGUAGCUUACCAGAAAGGGACGGCUAACUACGUG